UCGGCUAAUCCUCUCCAUUCCCCUUUUCUGCGCCCAGAUGUGAACUUCUGGUGAUAUGGAACUGGAAGAGACUGGGUUAUUCAUUAGGGCUUAGCUCGAGGAUCGUGAAAGAUUGUUCCGACUUCUGGCCAGCUAGUUUGGGGUCUUCUUUCUUCAGUCAAUUGAGGUGCUUCACUUGGGAGGGAUACCAACACAACCAAUGAGAAGGCGAACACAAAAUUGGAUAGUAUAUUCAGUCUGAAGGAAAGCCAUUCCAUUGCAGAUACGUUGUGAAACCACGGCCUUGAAUGGCUGUCUAUAAGACAGAGGUUUGCAU
This is a long non-coding RNA of Tripterygium wilfordii, 316 nucleotides long. RefSeq lists it as uncharacterized. The transcript is spliced from 3 exons. NCBI's taxonomy places the organism in Eukaryota, Viridiplantae, Streptophyta, Magnoliopsida, Celastrales, Celastraceae. The record is from RefSeq and is a predicted model, not a curated record.